GUGAACGCUGGCGGCAGGCCUAACACAUGCAAGUCGAGCGGCAGCGCGGGGGCAACCCUGGCGGCGAGCGGCGGACGGGUGAGGAAUUCGUCGGAAUCUGCCUUUUUGUGGGGGAUAACGUAGGGAAACUUACGCUAAUACCGCAUACGUCCUACGGGAGAAAGUGGGGGACCGCAAGGCCUCACGCAGAAAGAUGAGCCGACGACCGAUUAGCUAGUUGGUGGGGUAAAGGCCCACCAAGGCGACGAUCGGCAGCUGGUCUGAGAGGAUGAUCAGCCACACUGGGACUGAGACACGGCCCAGACUCCUACGGGAGGCAACAGUGGGGAAUAUUGGACAAUGGGCGCAAGCCUGAUCCAGCCAUGCCGCGUGUGUGAAGAAGGCCUUCGGGUUGUAAAGCACUUUUGUCCGGAAAGAAAUCCCUGGAGCUAAUACCUUCGGGGGAUGACGGUACCGGAAGAAUAAGCACCGGCUAACUUCGUG
This 483-nucleotide ribosomal RNA is filed under the name uncultured bacterium. RNAcentral's name for it is "partial 16S ribosomal RNA". It matches the Rfam family "Bacterial small subunit ribosomal RNA", at positions 29 to 507 of the family's 1533-position model. The record is from RNAcentral.